Molecule: non-coding RNA, 73 nt
Organism: Dermacentor andersoni
Lineage: Eukaryota; Metazoa; Arthropoda; Arachnida; Ixodida; Ixodidae
Source: the annotation of a RefSeq genome assembly
GUCCGCGUGGCCUAAUGGAGAAGGCGUCGGAUUCCACAUCUGAAGAUUGCAGGUUCGAGCCCUGUCGCGGACG